RNAcentral lists this small nuclear RNA (107 nucleotides) under Cercocebus atys (sooty mangabey). The record is from RNAcentral. Lineage: Eukaryota; Metazoa; Chordata; Mammalia; Primates; Cercopithecidae.
GUGCUCACUUCAGCAGCACAUAUACUCACAUUGGAAUAGUACAGAGAAGAUGAACAUGGUCCCUGUGCAAGGUUGAUGCACAGAUUCAUGAACGGUUCCUUUUUUUU